CCUACGGGUGGCAGCAGUGAGGAAUAUUGGUCAAUGGGCGCGAGCCUGAACCAGCCAUGUAGCGUGAAGGAUGACUGCCCUACGGGUUGUAAACUUCUUUUAUGAAGGAAUAAAGUGAGGCACGUGUGCCCUUUUGUAUGUACUUUAUGAGUAGGAGUCGGCUAACUCCGUGCCAGCAGCCGCGGUAAUACGGAGGAUCCGAGCGUUAUCCGGAUUUAUUGGGUUUAAAGGGAGCGUAGAUGGGUUGUUAAGUCAGUUGUGAAAGUUUGCGGCUCAACCUUAAAAUUGCAAUUGAUACUGGCAGCCUAGAGUACAGUUGAGGGAGGUAGAAUUCGAGGUGUAGCGGUGAAAUGCUUAGAGAUCACGAAGAACUCCGAUUGCGAAGGCAGCCUCCUAAAC
This 399-nucleotide ribosomal RNA is filed under the name uncultured bacterium. Its description in RNAcentral is "partial 16S ribosomal RNA". It matches the Rfam family "Bacterial small subunit ribosomal RNA", at positions 338 to 734 of the family's 1533-position model. The record is from RNAcentral.